RNAcentral lists this ribosomal RNA (253 nucleotides) under uncultured bacterium. Its description in RNAcentral is "partial 16S ribosomal RNA". It matches the Rfam family "Bacterial small subunit ribosomal RNA", at positions 524 to 776 of the family's 1533-position model. The record is from RNAcentral.
CACGUAGGAGGCGAGCGUUAUCCGGAUUCACUGGGCGUAAAGCGCGUGCAGGCGGUUUGGUAAGUUGGGCGUGAAAGCUCCCGGCUCAACUGGGAGAGGUCGUUCAAUACUACCAGACUAGAGAGUAGAAGAGGAAGAUGGAAUUCCCGGUGUAGUGGUGAAAUGCGUAGAUAUCGGGAGGAACACCAGUGGCGAAGGCGAUCUUCUGGUCUAUUUCUGACGCUCAGACGCGACAGCUAGGGUAGUAAACGGG